CGCGAAUUCGCCCUUCGGGGCGCACCAGGCGCGAAAACUUUACAAUGCGAGAAACCGUGAUAAGGGGACACCGAGUGCCAGCAUCAUAUGCUGGCUGUCCAGGUGUGUAAAAUACACCUGUUAGCAAGGGCCGGGCAAGACCGGUGCCAGCCGCCGCGGUAACACCGGCGGCCCGAGUGGUGAUCGUGAUUAUUGGGUCUAAAGGGUCCGUAGCCGGUUUGGUCAGUCCUCCGGGAAAUCUGACGGCUCAACCGUUAGGCUUUCGGGGGAUACUGCCAGGCUUGGAACCGGGAGAGGUAAGAGGUACUACAGGGGUAGGAGUGAAAUCUUGUAAUCCCUGUGAGACCACCUGUGGCGAAGGCGUCUUACCAGAACGGGUUCGACGGUGAGGGACGAAAGCUGGGGGCACGAACCGGAUUAGAUACCCGGGUAGUCCCAGCCGUAAACGAUGCUCGCUAGGUGUCAGGCAUGGCGCGACCGUGUCUGGUGCCGCAGGGAAGCCGUGAAGCGAGCCACCUGGGAAGUACGGCCGCAAGGCUGAAACUUAAAGGAAUUGGCGGGGGAGCAC
This 568-nucleotide ribosomal RNA is filed under the name uncultured archaeon. RNAcentral describes it as "bacterial SSU rRNA". It matches the Rfam family "Archaeal small subunit ribosomal RNA", at positions 311 to 879 of the family's 1478-position model. The record is from RNAcentral.